CAAGGAACUCAGGCCCCUGAGAGACGCUAGUGGGCCUUUGAUCGCUGCUGUUUACUCAUUCACUCAGCAAACACAAAAUAAGCCUUCACUCAGAAGCCGCUGGAAAGUGCUGGAAGCAGCCCUCAGGGAGUCGCGCUAGAGGAAGCAGGACCCGGGCAGGAGUGGGGGCUGCAGGGAUCCCACUGUCUUCCGGGAGGAACCAGCUUGCUGACACCUGAUUUGUAGACCAGGGAGAGACAUUUUGGACCUCUGACCUCCAGAACCAUAAGAUAAACUUGUGCCGCUUAAGGCGGGGAAAAAGGAGUCAGAGAGCAAGAGACGGCUGUUACCUCCAGCUUUCAAGUAAGCCCAAGAUUUGUG
Long non-coding RNA from Homo sapiens (human), 360 nucleotides. RefSeq lists it as uncharacterized. The record is from RefSeq and is a predicted model, not a curated record. Lineage: Eukaryota; Metazoa; Chordata; Mammalia; Primates; Hominidae. The transcript has 3 exons.